Molecule: ribosomal RNA, 38 nt
Filed under: Isoetes occidentalis
Lineage: Eukaryota; Viridiplantae; Streptophyta; Lycopodiopsida; Isoetales; Isoetaceae
Description: partial 26S ribosomal RNA
Source: RNAcentral
GAGACCUCAGAUCAGGCAAGGCUACCCGCUGAGUUUAA